RNAcentral lists this ribosomal RNA (289 nucleotides) under uncultured bacterium. RNAcentral describes it as "partial 16S ribosomal RNA". It matches the Rfam family "Bacterial small subunit ribosomal RNA", at positions 773 to 1060 of the family's 1533-position model. The record is from RNAcentral.
GUGGAUUAGAUACCCUGGUAGUCCACGCCCUAAACGAUGUCGACUAGUCGUUCGGAGAGGUAACUCACUGAGUGACGCAGCUAACGCGUGAAGUCGACCGCCUGGGGAGUACGGCCGCAAGGUUAAAACUCAAAGGAAUUGACGGGGACCCGCACAAGCGGUGGAUGAUGUGGAUUAAUUCGAUGCAACGCGAAAAACCUUACCUACCCUUGACAUGCCUGGAAUCCUUGAGAGAUCAAGGAGUGCCUUCGGGAACCAGGACACAGGUGCUGCACGGUCGUCGCCAACU